UACGGAGGAUGCAAGCGUUAUGCGGAAUGAUUGGGCGUAAAGCGUCCGCAGGUGGCUAUGUAAGUCUGCUGUUAAAGAGUGAGGCUCAACCUCAUAAGAGCAGUGGAAACUACAUGGCUAGAGUGCGUUCGGGGCAGAGGGAAUUCCUGGUGUAGCGGUGAAAUGCGUAGAUAUCAGGAAGAACACCGGUGGCGAAAGCGCUCUGCUAGGCCGCAACUGACACUGAGGGACGAAAGCUAGGGGAGCGAAUGGG
RNAcentral lists this ribosomal RNA (253 nucleotides) under uncultured bacterium. RNAcentral's name for it is "partial 16S ribosomal RNA". It matches the Rfam family "Bacterial small subunit ribosomal RNA", at positions 524 to 776 of the family's 1533-position model. The record is from RNAcentral.